UACGGAGGGGGCUAGCGUUGUUCGGAAUUACUGGGCGUAAAGGGCUCGUAGGCGGCCAACUAAGUCAGACGUGAAAUCCCCAGGCUCAACCUGGGAACUGCGUCUGAUACUGGUUGGCUUGAAUCCGGGAGAGGGAUGCAGAAUUCCAGGUGUAGCGGUGAAAUGCGUAGAUAUCUGGAGGAAUACCGGUGGCGAAGGCGGCAUCCUGGACCGGCAUUGACGCUGAGGAGCGAAAGCUAGGGGAGCAAACGGG
RNAcentral lists this ribosomal RNA (253 nucleotides) under uncultured bacterium. RNAcentral describes it as "partial 16S ribosomal RNA". It matches the Rfam family "Bacterial small subunit ribosomal RNA", at positions 524 to 776 of the family's 1533-position model. The record is from RNAcentral.